This 497-nucleotide ribosomal RNA is filed under the name uncultured bacterium. RNAcentral describes it as "partial 16S ribosomal RNA". It matches the Rfam family "Bacterial small subunit ribosomal RNA", at positions 28 to 507 of the family's 1533-position model. The record is from RNAcentral.
GAUGAACGCUGGCGGCGUGCCUAAUACAUGCAAGUCGAGCGAACAGACGAGGAGCUUGCUCCUCUGACGUUAGCGGCGGACGGGUGAGUAACACGUGGAUAACCUACCUAUAGGACUGGGAUAACUUCGGGAAACCGGAGCUAAUACCGGAUAAUAUAUUGAACCGCAUGGUUCAAUAGUGAAAGACGGUUUUGCUGUCACUUAUAGAUGGAUCCGCGCCGCAUUAGCUAGUUGGUAAGGUAACGGCUUACCAAGGCAACGAUGCGUAGCCGACCUGAGAGGGUGACGGGCACCAGUAGAACAGAAACCCGGUCAAGACCCCGCCGGGAGGAGGAAGGAGGGAAUUUUCCGCAAGGGGCAAAAGCCGGACGGAGCAACCCCGCGUGAGUGAGAAAGGUGUUCGUAUCUAAAAACUUUUUUAUGGGGGAAAAAAAAAUGUGAAAGUAACUAUGCCCUUCUGGAGGGACCCUAAUCAGAAAGCCACGACAAACCAGGUC